AUGAACGCUGGCGGCGUGCCUCAUACAUGCCAGUCGCGCGAACAGACGAGGAGCUUGCUCCUCUGACGUUAGCGGCGGACGGGUGAGUAACACGUGGAUAACCUACCUAUAAGACUGGGAUAACUUCGGGAAACCGGAGCUAAUACCGGAUAAUAUAUUUAACCGCAUGGUUCCAUAGUGAAAGACGGUUUUGCUGUCACUUAUAGAUGGAUCCGCGCCGCAUUAGCUAGUUGGUAAGGUAACGGCUUACCAAGGCAACGAUGCGUAGCCGACCUGAGAGGGUGAUCGGCCACACUGGAACUGAGACACGGUCCAGACUCCUACGGGAGGCAGCAGUAGGGAAUCUUCCGCAAUGGGCGAAAGCCUGACGGAGCAACGCCGCGUGAGUGAUGAAGGUCUUCGGAUCGUAAAACUCUGUUAUUAGGGAAGAACAAAUGUGUAAGUAACUAUGCACGUCUUGACGGUACCUAAUCAGAAAGCCACGGCUAACUACGUG
Molecule: ribosomal RNA, 496 nt
Filed under: uncultured bacterium
Lineage: Bacteria
Description: partial 16S ribosomal RNA
Rfam family: Bacterial small subunit ribosomal RNA
Source: RNAcentral